Molecule: non-coding RNA, 538 nt
Organism: Notechis scutatus (mainland tiger snake)
Lineage: Eukaryota; Metazoa; Chordata; Lepidosauria; Squamata; Elapidae
Source: RefSeq, a predicted model, not a curated record
AGUUUAGCUGAUUGGUGCCGGCAGCCCCUUUUCGCUUCUGGCGCCGUCUCAGGGCUUUGCCGAGCGAGGCGGUGCGGGUGCCCCGUUGCUUCUAAUCUCUUUUCCGCUCUCGUUGUUCCUCUGCUUGCUGCUUGAGGCUCAACCCUAUUGUAAUGGGACCUCGUUUCCUCGGAAGGCGUCCUUGAAGGUUUUAGUCCGUGAGCCCGCCGCUGCAAAGUAUGGAGGCGGGAAUCAGGUGCUAUAUUCACAUUUGGGAAAAGCAAAUUUGCAGAAAAUGUGCCUAGCAAGUUUUGGUUUAAAAAUGAUAAGCCUUUAUACAUAUCAUGUGGAGAUGAACAUACAUCGGUUGUUACAGAAAAUGGUAAACUAUACAUGUUUGGAAGCAACAACUGGGGACAACUAGGCCUUGGAACAAAGAAUACUGUCAGGAAGCCAACUUGUGUGAAAGUUCUAAAACCUGAAAAAGUGAAACUAGUUGCUUGUGGGAGAAAUCAUACUUUGAUCUAUACAGGUAUGUAAAUUAUUUGUUUAUAUGCCA